AAGGGGCCCCAGCAACCUCCCGUGGGGCGGCCUUGCGUCCGUCAUGGCCGAAACUGCGUCUGUGUGAGGUUUUCGUCUAGAGAUUCCAGGUCCCUAUGAAGCAACAGCUAUUUUACCAGUGAGGAAACCGGGGUUUGGAGAGACUGCUGCCCCGGCCCGGAGAGCCAGCAGCGCUGAAGUGUAGUCUGUCCUCCCAUCUGCGCUCUUAACCACCGCCUUAGUUUCCCUAGGGGAGAUUUUAGGGGAUGCAGGGGUAGGUCCUUAAAUCACUUUAUCGCAUGGUGAGAAAGUUACUCCCUUUUUACUUCUCGUUCAGUCUCUCUGAUUACACCAAUGAGAAAGUCCCAGUUCGGUGCUAAUGUUUUUAAUUCCUCUCUAACAGUUGCUAAUCGCCGCUUUAACAGAAUACGCCUUGAACUGAUUGAAAGCCCUUAGCAGGUAGUUGAAUUUAUAGAGGAUUUAGUAAUAUUGUUUAUUUUCAUGGUAUGUAUUUCUAUCCAUACUGAUUUUCCAAUGACUACGGUGAAAUAAAGUUUGUUUUAUAUUUA
Long non-coding RNA from Diceros bicornis minor, 548 nucleotides. RefSeq lists it as uncharacterized. The record is from RefSeq and is a predicted model, not a curated record. NCBI's taxonomy places the organism in Eukaryota, Metazoa, Chordata, Mammalia, Perissodactyla, Rhinocerotidae. The transcript has 2 exons.